Molecule: ribosomal RNA, 294 nt
Filed under: uncultured bacterium
Lineage: Bacteria
Description: partial 16S ribosomal RNA
Rfam family: Bacterial small subunit ribosomal RNA
Source: RNAcentral
GGUAGUCCACGCCGUAAACGAUGAGAACUAGCUGUCAGGGCUCUUGGAGCUUUGGUGGCGAAGCUAACGCAUUAAGUUCUCCGCCUGGGGAGUACGGCCGCAAGGUUAAAACUCAAAGAAAUUGACGGGGGCCUGCACAAGCGGUGGAGCAUGUGGUUUAAUUCGACGCAACGCGCAGAACCUUACCCAGGUUUGACAUGGCCCUGCAAGCCGGUGAAAGCCGGUCGCCUUCGAGGGUGGGCCACAGAUGCUGCAUGGCUGUCGUCAGCUCGUGUCGUGAGAUGUUGGGUUAAG